CGCGCCUUCCGGCAACGGCGGGCGUGAUGGAACAGAAGUCAGCAGAGGCCAUAGUAGCCCCGUCCUCUGGGAAAGAGGGCGGCGCGAAGGGC
Non-coding RNA from Methylothermaceae bacteria B42, 92 nucleotides. Lineage: Bacteria; Pseudomonadati; Pseudomonadota; Gammaproteobacteria; Methylococcales; Methylothermaceae. The record is from Rfam.